AUUUAAAUAGUUUAAAUAAAACAUUGAUAUGUGAAAUCAAAAAUACAAAAAAUUUUAAAUA
This 61-nucleotide transfer RNA is filed under the name Chelonus munakatae. Its description in RNAcentral is "tRNA-His". The record is from RNAcentral. Lineage: Eukaryota; Metazoa; Arthropoda; Insecta; Hymenoptera; Braconidae.